This 255-nucleotide ribosomal RNA is filed under the name uncultured bacterium. RNAcentral's name for it is "partial 16S ribosomal RNA". It matches the Rfam family "Bacterial small subunit ribosomal RNA", at positions 99 to 354 of the family's 1533-position model. The record is from RNAcentral.
CGGACGGGUGAGUAACGCGUGGAGAACCUGCCGUAUACUGGGGGAUAACACUUAGAAAUAGGUGCUAAUACCGCAUAAGCGCGCAGCUUCGCAUGAAGCAGUGUGAAAAACUCCGGUGGUAUACGAUGGAUCCGCGUCUGAUUAGCUGGUUGGCGGGGUAAAGGCCCACCAAGGCGACGAUCAGUAGCCGGCCUGAGAGGGUGAACGGCCACAUUGGGACUGAGACACGGCCCAAACUCCUACGGAAGGCAGCAG